Molecule: ribosomal RNA, 559 nt
Filed under: Cantharidus jessoensis
Lineage: Eukaryota; Metazoa; Mollusca; Gastropoda; Trochida; Trochidae
Description: partial 16S rRNA
Rfam family: Bacterial large subunit ribosomal RNA
Source: RNAcentral
GUCUCUCUGGAAUAUUUAUAAAUCUAUAUAGAGAGUCGGACCUGCCCGGUGACUAAGUGUUAAACGGCCGCGGUACCCUAACCGUGCAAAGGUAGCAUAAUCAUUUGCCUUUUAAUUGGAGGCUGGUAUGAAUGGUUUGACGAGAGCUAAGCUGUCUCUUUUGUAAGAUAUUUAAAAAUUAACUUUUAGGUGAAGAGGCCUAAAUUUAUUUAAGGGACAAGAAGACCCUAUUGAGCUUUAGUGAAAUUGUGGGCGUGCUAUUAGUGUGUAUUAAGAUACAAAUUUGACUUACAAUUAAUCUUUAGUUGGGGCGACUAAGGAACAUAAAAAGCUUCCUUUAUAGUGUUGUUUUCUAGAUAAUGUAUGUUUAGAUGAUAUUCUGUCAUGUUAUAUUGAUCCAGAUUUGUUUGAUUAAAGGAAAAAGUUACCAUAGGGAUAACAGCGUAAUCUUUCUGGAGAGAUCAUAUCGAAAGAAGGGUUUGCGACCUCGAUGUUGGACUAAGAUAUCCUAAGGGUGUAGAAGUUCUUGAGGGUUGGUCUGUUCGACCAUUAAAAUCUU